CUCGAAGUGGGGCAGCCCUAAGGAACCAGCCAGGCAGGAGAAGCAGAUUUCGGUGUGAUUUAUGACUGGCUGCGGGCUGCUUGGGGAAGGUUCUGAAACAGGUGUGUGGUGCCUGGUCACCCCAUGGAGCUCUCGCCUCCUUCUGGGCUAUCACUGCACCUGCUCUACUCUAGACAACUUCAUUCAGAAUCUGCUGUUGCCUUUUCCAUGACGGACUCAUGGCUACUGCAUCAGCACAGAGGUGAAAUAGACCAGAGGAGCCAUUCAGUCACCUACGCAGCAUCGCUGCAGAUGAGCUUACAGUUGGUCUGCUGGAGAACCUGUGGACUGAAAGGUUACUCCCCAGCAGUAUUAAACCAAAAAUAAACUAGUGAUUUUCCUGAGCAAGAGAGUGAGGUGCAGUAUAACUUCAGGAAAUACCAGGCUCCUCAGAUGAAACCAUCAUACCCUUUUUAUGCAGAAAUUUCACACAAACUUAUCUUGAACAACUUGAAGUGUUUAGGGUUUUUGCACUACAAUGAUGGUAUAGCUACGUCAGAUAAAACAGAAAAAUGUAUUUUAUAUUCAUAUGUAUUACUUAAUACAAGUGCUAUUCCAACCACGCUGCUCAUCCCAGGAACUGAAGUAAUCCACAUCCUCAUGGGAGAAAUUGAAGUCUGGACCAACCCUAGUGCACCUCCCACUCCACAUCCUUGGAGCAAGACAUUCUUCCAUUUUUCUUCAAACUGUAAAUGCUGUAUGAAGCACCGUAACAGAAUAUAUUGCUCCUGCUUUGCUCCAUAACAUCUUAGUAUGUUUCCUGACCACUCCACAAAGAUAUUCCUUCUCUGUGACAACUCUGAGAAGUCAUUCUCUAUCACUGUUGUUUGGAAAUUACUACCUAAGGGAUCAGAAAAUUCAUUUCCAAUGGAUGGGACAGCCUAAAUCUUCAUAAAUUCUGUGAACUUUGCAACUCUGUUACAGACCCAGUUGAACGUCUGGAUGUCUCACAACUUGGUACGUCCAAGUUUAGGAUAUGUUCUUAGGUGCAAAUCCACUAAUAUAAUAGUAGGAAAUUAUUUAGCUACAGGUACCUAGAGCUGUUUCCUUUUUGGACUACAGAAGUUAACAGUGAUUACAAAAACCUGUCAUGCCUUUAAUUUGUUUUAAAGAUACAAUACUCCUCCCUACCUUUUAAUAACACUACACCCUGCGCUCUUUCCAAAGUUCUAUAAAUGGCCUUAAAAAGAGAACUCUGAAUCUGUGAAAUGUGGCAAGUUGAC
Molecule: long non-coding RNA, 1262 nt
Filed under: Gallus gallus (chicken)
Lineage: Eukaryota; Metazoa; Chordata; Aves; Galliformes; Phasianidae
Description: lncRNA (ENSGALG00010003026.1)
Source: RNAcentral